This 215-nucleotide long non-coding RNA is filed under the name Lathyrus oleraceus (garden pea). RNAcentral's name for it is "Pisum sativum (pea) long non-coding RNA (PSAT_LNC011462)". Lineage: Eukaryota; Viridiplantae; Streptophyta; Magnoliopsida; Fabales; Fabaceae. The record is from RNAcentral.
UAGGAUGCAUACAUCACAUUGCAUGCAUAAUCAUCAUAACCAUGCAUAAUCCCUAAACAAAUAUUCAUAUUAUCAUCCUCCAGCAUGGCGAAUUUCUGGUUACUCUCAUUAGUAUUUAAUCCUCUCUUACCUUGAAUACAUUGGAACUCGUCACUAUCUAUGCAUUCAGGUCCGAGAAAAUUAAAUAGGGUCAAUUGUCAUACCCCAAAAUUCAC